CCCUAGUAACGGCGAGUGAAGCGGCAACAGCUCAAAUUUGAAAGCUAGCCUUCGGGUUCGCAUUGUAAUUUGUAGAGGAUGAUUUGGGGAAGCCGCCUGUCUAAGUUCCUUGGAACAGGACGUCAUAGAGGGUGAGAAUCCCGUAUGUGACAGGAAAUGGCACCCUAUGUAAAUCUCCUUCGACGAGUCGAGUUGUUUGGGAAUGCAGCUCUAAAUGGGAGGUAAAUUUCUUCUAAAGCUAAAUAUUGGCGAGAGACCGAUAGCGCACAAGUAGAGUGAUCGAAAGAUGAAAAGCACUUUGGAAAGAGAGUUAAAAAGCACGUGAAAUUGUUGAAAGGGAAGCGCUUGCAAUCAGACUUGUUUAAACUGUUCGGCCGGUCUUCUGACCGGUUUACUCAGUUUGGACAGGCCAGCAUCAGUUUCGGCGGCCGGAUAAAGGCUCUGGGAAUGUGGCCUCCACUUCGGUGGAGGUGUUAUAGCCCAGGGUGUAAUACGGCCAGCCGGGACUGAGGUCCGCGCUUCGGCUAGGAUGCUGGCGUAAUGGUUGUAA
RNAcentral lists this ribosomal RNA (550 nucleotides) under Aureobasidium proteae. RNAcentral describes it as "eukaryotic LSU rRNA". It matches the Rfam family "Eukaryotic large subunit ribosomal RNA", at positions 78 to 643 of the family's 3401-position model. Lineage: Eukaryota; Fungi; Ascomycota; Dothideomycetes; Dothideales; Saccotheciaceae. The record is from RNAcentral.